GCCAUGCUUGGAAUAGCAUUGCAUAUACUAACAUUGGAACGAUACAGAGAAGAUCAACAGCCUAAGGAUGGCACCCAAAUCUGGGAAGUUUUCCAGUUUUUC
Non-coding RNA from Sarcophilus harrisii (Tasmanian devil), 102 nucleotides. Lineage: Eukaryota; Metazoa; Chordata; Mammalia; Dasyuromorphia; Dasyuridae. The record is from Rfam.